GCACCGCGGAGGAAGAGGCGGCGGUGGCAUGUGAUCCCCCGCAGGGCGACAGUAGAAAUCGGGGAAACCCCUAUUGCCCAGGAAGGUGGUACCCUAUAAUCUAUUCACGAAGGACACUUCCCAAGUACACCUGGUCCUCGUCACAGCCCAGGGAAGAUUGGGCGGGAGCCCUGAGAACCGAGAGUCACAAAUAUGCGGGCCCCACAGCGCCCCCUGCGCGCAAAACGCGCAGUGUGCACACGAGGCGCGUGGAGGAAAUCCCGGCCCAACGCCCCGCGGGCGCGAAAGACGAAGCGGAAAGGGGACACUGCGGGCGCUCAGAGCUAAGUAGCAGUGAGCUGUCCGGAGCUUCCCGCCACCAGGGGCCAGGUCUCCCGCGAGCUGUCGCCUAGCUACAAUGGCCUGCCCAGUGCUCGGAAACCAAGAAGCCGCCCUGUGCUGCCUCGGCUCCCACGCCUCCCUCCAGGAAAGAAGGCGACGGCUGUGAGGAUCACGCCCGCCGAGUUCUUUCCCAAGCCUGUGAAGUUGCAGGAUGGAUGACUCCAGGCCCUCCAGGGACUUCCCCACUCACCCCCUUGGGGUCCCCGGCGUGAGUCACCGGGGCCGAGCCGCGCAACAGCCGCCGCUCGCCUCCGUCCCAGACACUGCGCGCGCAGGAAAAAGUUUCCGGCGUUCCAGACAAAGUUUUCUCGCUGGAGAUAAACAAGCGAUCAGGAUGGUUCUCGCUUUGCUCUCCCUCCCUGGGUCCUCUCCCAGCUCUGCCCUACGCCUGGUCGCGUCCAGCCCGGCCUCCUCUCCCCGGAGUAGCUCCCGGAGUGGCUGGUGACUGUUUCCCUCCUCUCUCAACUUACGGCCGCCUCCUCUCCUCCCCCACCUCCUCCCACUUUUCCUGUCCGGUGCUUAUCGCUCUAGUUUCUCUCCAACGCCCCCGCCUCACCUCACCCCGUCCCACGCCUCCUCUCCCGCACCGAGGGGAGGCGGGGCACCCUGAGCUUAAAUCCACUUCAACGGUUUCAGCUCGUGGUCCUAAAAACCAGGGGAGGAUGCUGCAAGUCUAGGGAACUCCGCAACACCUUUCCCUCGUCCAAGAGGAGGUUGGCCUCCCACGGCUAAUCCCACAAUGAGAAACUGCCCGGGAGCCCAGAGGUGUUUGUGUGACCAGAUAAAAAAGAGCAGAGACCUGCA
Mesocricetus auratus (golden hamster) is the source of this 1185-nucleotide long non-coding RNA. RefSeq lists it as uncharacterized. Lineage: Eukaryota; Metazoa; Chordata; Mammalia; Rodentia; Cricetidae. The transcript has 2 exons. The record is from RefSeq and is a predicted model, not a curated record.